GAUGAACGCUGGCGGCGUGCCUAAUACAUGCAAGUCGAGCGAACGGACGAGAAGCUUGCUUCUCUGAUGUUAGCGGCGGACGGGCGAGUAACACGUGGAUAACCUACCUAUAAGACUGGGAUAACUUCGGGAAACCGGAGCUAAUACCGGAUAAUAUUUUGAACUGCAUGGGUCAAAAGUGAAAGACGGUCUUGCUGUCACUUAUAGAUGGAUCCGCGCUGCAUUAGCUAGUUGGUAAGGUAACGGCUUACCAAGGCAACGAUGCAUAGCCGACCUGAGAGGGUGAUCGGCCACACUGGAACUGAGACACGGUCCCGACUCCUACGGGAGGCCGCAGUAGGGAAUCUUCCGCAAUGGGCGAAAGCCUGACGGAGCAACGCCGCGUGAGUGAUGAAGGUCUUCGGAUCGUAAAACUCUGUUAUUAGGGAAGAACAAAUGUGUAAGUAACUGUGCACAUCUUGACGGUACCUAAUCAGAAAGCCACGGCUAACUACGUG
Molecule: ribosomal RNA, 497 nt
Filed under: uncultured bacterium
Lineage: Bacteria
Description: partial 16S ribosomal RNA
Rfam family: Bacterial small subunit ribosomal RNA
Source: RNAcentral